GAAGUUGGCCAGACAGUCGCUGCCUUAUCCUUUUAGGUUGAGGGAGAGGAAAGUCCGGGCUCCACAGGGCAAGGUGCCAGAUAACGUCUGGGGGGCGUAAGCCUACGGAAAGUGCCGCAGAAAAGAUACCGCCGAUGGCAGUGCAAACUGUACAGGUAAGGGUGAAAAGGUGCGGUAAGAGCGCACCGCGCGUCUGGUAACAGCACGUGGCAGGGUAAACCCCACUUGGAGCAAGACCAAAUAGGAACCCUAAGGUGCGGCCCGCACUGGGUUCGGGUAGGUUGCUGGAGGUAUACGGUGACGUAUAUCCUAGAGGAAUGACUGUCCACGACAGAACCCGGCUUAUCGGCUAACUUCCGCC
This 361-nucleotide RNase P RNA is filed under the name Allopseudospirillum japonicum. RNAcentral's name for it is "Pseudospirillum japonicum Bacterial RNase P class A". It matches the Rfam family "Bacterial RNase P class A". Rfam says of the family: Ribonuclease P (RNase P) is a ubiquitous endoribonuclease, found in archaea, bacteria and eukarya as well as chloroplasts and mitochondria. Its best characterised activity is the generation of mature 5'-ends of tRNAs by cleaving the 5'-leader elements of precursor-tRNAs. Lineage: Bacteria; Pseudomonadati; Pseudomonadota; Gammaproteobacteria; Oceanospirillales; Oceanospirillaceae. The record is from Rfam by way of RNAcentral.